RNAcentral lists this ribosomal RNA (51 nucleotides) under Agave sisalana. RNAcentral describes it as "partial 26S ribosomal RNA". The record is from RNAcentral. Lineage: Eukaryota; Viridiplantae; Streptophyta; Magnoliopsida; Asparagales; Asparagaceae. RNAcentral also lists the same sequence under 1 other name.
AACGACCCCAGGUCAGGCGGGACCACCCGCUGAGUUUAAGCAUAUCAAUAA